GCGCUCUUUUUGUGAACCUUUUUUUAAUGUAUUAGUUUAUUUAACAAAUAAUUUGUUUAAAAAGAAAAAAAAAACCUACAGCAAGGCUUCAGGCGUUUUAUCGGGACCGACCACUUAGCAAUAGCAGUUUCUGCACUUGAUUGACGGUGUUUAAUGGGAAACUUGAGUGUUUGUUCAAGCUCUUGAACGUUUGCAGGGUUCUUUUCCCCAGUGGCAGAUUUCAGCUCACCCCAAAGAUUUUCGAUCGGAUUGAGAUCAGGACUCGUUGCUGGCCAUUUUUAAACAGUCCAUUUUUUCCUUUUCAACCAUUCCUGCGUGCUUUUGGAUGUGUGCUUUGGGUCUUUGUCUUGCUGGAGGACCCAUGAUCUUCGACUCAAACCAAGUUUUCUUACACUGGGUAGGACAUUUCGCUCUAAAAUCUCUUGAUAAUUCUCUGAUUUCAUGAUUCCUGUGAUACGGUCAAGGCCUCCAGUACCAGAUGCAGCCCCACGGCAUUAUGGAUCCUCCACCAUGCUGAACUGUUGGUAGGGUGUUCUUUUCCUUGUAGGCUUCAUUGCGCCGUCUGUAAACAAACUGUUGGUGUGCAUUGACAAAAAGCUCUAUUUUUGUUUCAUCUGUCCACAGAACAUUUUCCCAGAAGGAUUGCGGUUUGUCCAGGUACUCUUUGGCAAAGAUCAGUCAUUCCUUUUUAUGUCUUUUCCUCAGCAAUGGUGUCUUCCUUGGCCUUCGCCCAUAAAGCCCUGUUUGGUUUCGUGUGCAGCGUAUGGCACUUGUUGAAAUCAUGACCCCAGACUCUUCCAGGUUGGCCUUCAGGUCUUUGGAUGUUUGACGUGGUGUUUUUUCAGGGAAUAAAGGUGGCUUUUUAAAAACACGGAAGUCAUCAUUCAUUGGCUAAUUCAUGUCACAUAGGCACAGACAAUUUAUCACAGGUGAUUCUCAUUUGUGAUUUAUCACAGGUGUCAUAAUGUGUUUCCAUACUGAUUUACAGCAAAGGGUGCCAAUAUCAGUGACACAGCAAGCUUUAAGUUUUUCUAUUUUUUCCCCUCAUUGGUUGUUUUUAAAUUGUUGUUUAUCAUUUGCUCUUUUGUAUCAAACACGAGUUCUCUAUAGAAAAAAGUUGUUUCACUUGAUUCAUUUUUUUCAGGAGAUAUUCCACAUUAUGUACUUAAAAUUCAUGGGUGCCAAUAAUGGUGAGCAGGACUGUACGUAACUCCAUGUUACUCCAGGAGUAUAGUCUAUAUGCAACUGCAUUAUUACCAGAGUAUAGUCUAUAUGUAACUGCAUUAUUACCAGAGUAUAGUCUAUAUGUAACUGUGUUAUUACCAGAGUAUUGUCUAUAUGUAACUUUGCGCUACUACAGGAGCAUAGUCCAUAUGUUGCUCUCCGUUACUAUAGGAGUAUAGUCUAUAUAUAACUAUGUUGCUAUGGGAGUAUAGUCGUGUGUGUGUGUGUGUGUGUAUAUAUGUGUAUAUAUAUAUAUAUAUAUAUAUAUAUAUAAUAACUGCGUAGUCUGUAUGAAAC
Long non-coding RNA from Neoarius graeffei (lesser salmon catfish), 1521 nucleotides. RefSeq lists it as uncharacterized. Lineage: Eukaryota; Metazoa; Chordata; Actinopteri; Siluriformes; Ariidae. The transcript is spliced from 2 exons. The record is from RefSeq and is a predicted model, not a curated record.